Xiphophorus couchianus (Monterrey platyfish) is the source of this 901-nucleotide long non-coding RNA. RefSeq lists it as uncharacterized. The record is from RefSeq and is a predicted model, not a curated record. Lineage: Eukaryota; Metazoa; Chordata; Actinopteri; Cyprinodontiformes; Poeciliidae. The transcript has 3 exons.
AUCACACUACAUUGUAAAUCGAAUGAUGCCUCUAUAAAAAUCAUAUAUUUGUGACAUCAAACUUUUUUCUGCCAUAAAGCAAUGGUCAAACUACGGGUAAAUGUUUGUAAUUCACUUUCAACAAAUGGAAACCAAAAAGGUUUUAAAGUAAAGACACUGUGAAUACUCCUCAUCUACCUCAACACAGGUAGUUUCCACUGUAUAUACGUAAGUAAAUGUGAUUAUAACUGAGUGAAAAUUGUACAGCAGGGCUUUAGCUCCAGUUCAGGAGGGUCAGCGUCCUCCAACCUUUAGAUGUCUCUUCUUUAACGCACCUGAGUCAAAUCAUGAGGUCAGAGGUCAUUAGCACGACUCUGGAGAACUUGACUCCCCUAAGCAGCCAUUUAAUUCAGUUGCGUUGGACCAGAAAGUAUCUAAAUGUUGCAGGAAACCAGAAAUCAAUGCCUGGAUCUGGUAGAUGCAGCAGCCAGUCAAAAGCUGCCUAAUUGAGCUGCUGGUAAGAUGUGUGCUAAUGCUACCUCUCACUCUCAGUAAUGUUUAUAACGUUACAAAUAGUUCUCACAGUUUUUGUGCUGCAUAAAAAUAUAAUGUUAAGUGUCUUUAAGUGUUUUAAAAACUUUGGGUUUGGUUAAAAUUAAACUGUUACUCUUAUAAAGUUUGUCUGAAGUUUUCCCUCCAAAAUGUGUUUGUUGGGCCGCAGACUGUGACUGUGUGUACCAUACCCGGUGAUUGAGUGUGUCCCACACUGUGUCUUAUAGAAUAUGUCCUUUAUGCAUUCUUUUACAUAAAGGAGAAGCUGCCUAACUGAGCUGCUGGGAUCUGACUGUGACUGUGUGUACCAUACCUGGUGGUUGAGUGUGUCCCACACUGUCUUAUAGGAAUAAACUGACACAGAUCCUGA